Molecule: ribosomal RNA, 2787 nt
Filed under: Escherichia coli
Lineage: Bacteria; Pseudomonadati; Pseudomonadota; Gammaproteobacteria; Enterobacterales; Enterobacteriaceae
Description: bacterial LSU rRNA
Rfam family: Bacterial large subunit ribosomal RNA
Source: RNAcentral
AGCGUACACGGUGGAUGCCCUGGCAGUCAGAGGCGAUGAAGGACGUGCUAAUCUGCGAUAAGCGUCGGUAAGGUGAUAUGAACCGUUAUAACCGGCGAUUUCCGAAUGGGGAAACCCAGUGUGUUUCGACACACUAUCAUUAACUGAAUCCAUAGGUUAAUGAGGCGAACCGGGGGAACUGAAACAUCUAAGUACCCCGAGGAAAAGAAAUCAACCGAGAUUCCCCCAGUAGCGGCGAGCGAACGGGGAGCAGCCCAGAGCCUGAAUCAGUGUGUGUGUUAGUGGAAGCGUCUGGAAAGGCGCGCGAUACAGGGUGACAGCCCCGUACACAAAAAUGCACAUAUUGUGAGCUCGAUGAGUAGGGCGGGACACGUGGUAUCCUGUCUGAAUAUGGGGGGACCAUCCUCCAAGGCUAAAUACUCCUGACUGACCGAUAGUGAACCAGUACCGUGAGGGAAAGGCGAAAAGAACCCCGGCGAGGGGAGUGAAAAAGAACCUGAAACCGUGUACGUACAAGCAGUGGGAGCACGCUUAGGCGUGUGACUGCGUACCUUUUGUAUAAUGGGUCAGCGACUUAUAUUCUGUAGCAAGGUUAACCGAAUAGGGGAGCCGAAGGGAAACCGAGUCUUAACUGGGCGUUAAGUUGCAGGGUAUAGACCCGAAACCCGGUGAUCUAGCCAUGGGCAGGUUGAAGGUUGGGUAACACUAACUGGAGGACCGAACCGACUAAUGUUGAAAAAUUAGCGGAUGACUUGUGGCUGGGGGUGAAAGGCCAAUCAAACCGGGAGAUAGCUGGUUCUCCCCGAAAGCUAUUUAGGUAGCGCCUCGUGAAUUCAUCUCCGGGGGUAGAGCACUGUUUCGGCAAGGGGGUCAUCCCGACUUACCAACCCGAUGCAAACUGCGAAUACCGGAGAAUGUUAUCACGGGAGACACACGGCGGGUGCUAACGUCCGUCGUGAAGAGGGAAACAACCCAGACCGCCAGCUAAGGUCCCAAAGUCAUGGUUAAGUGGGAAACGAUGUGGGAAGGCCCAGACAGCCAGGAUGUUGGCUUAGAAGCAGCCAUCAUUUAAAGAAAGCGUAAUAGCUCACUGGUCGAGUCGGCCUGCGCGGAAGAUGUAACGGGGCUAAACCAUGCACCGAAGCUGCGGCAGCGACGCUUAUGCGUUGUUGGGUAGGGGAGCGUUCUGUAAGCCUGUGAAGGUGUGCUGUGAGGCAUGCUGGAGGUAUCAGAAGUGCGAAUGCUGACAUAAGUAACGAUAAAGCGGGUGAAAAGCCCGCUCGCCGGAAGACCAAGGGUUCCUGUCCAACGUUAAUCGGGGCAGGGUGAGUCGACCCCUAAGGCGAGGCCGAAAGGCGUAGUCGAUGGGAAACAGGUUAAUAUUCCUGUACUUGGUGUUACUGCGAAGGGGGGACGGAGAAGGCUAUGUUGGCCGGGCGACGGUUGUCCCGGUUUAAGCGUGUAGGCUGGUUUUCCAGGCAAAUCCGGAAAAUCAAGGCUGAGGCGUGAUGACGAGGCACUACGGUGCUGAAGCAACAAAUGCCCUGCUUCCAGGAAAAGCCUCUAAGCAUCAGGUAACAUCAAAUCGUACCCCAAACCGACACAGGUGGUCAGGUAGAGAAUACCAAGGCGCUUGAGAGAACUCGGGUGAAGGAACUAGGCAAAAUGGUGCCGUAACUUCGGGAGAAGGCACGCUGAUAUGUAGGUGAAGCGACUUGCUCGUGGAGCUGAAAUCAGUCGAAGAUACCAGCUGGCUGCAACUGUUUAUUAAAAACACAGCACUGUGCAAACACGAAAGUGGACGUAUACGGUGUGACGCCUGCCCGGUGCCGGAAGGUUAAUUGAUGGGGUCAGCGCAAGCGAAGCUCUUGAUCGAAGCCCCGGUAAACGGCGGCCGUAACUAUAACGGUCCUAAGGUAGCGAAAUUCCUUGUCGGGUAAGUUCCGACCUGCACGAAUGGCGUAAUGAUGGCCAGGCUGUCUCCACCCGAGACUCAGUGAAAUUGAACUCGCUGUGAAGAUGCAGUGUACCCGCGGCAAGACGGAAAGACCCCGUGAACCUUUACUAUAGCUUGACACUGAACAUUGAGCCUUGAUGUGUAGGAUAGGUGGGAGGCUUAGAAGUGUGGACGCCAGUCUGCAUGGAGCCGACCUUGAAAUACCACCCUUUAAUGUUUGAUGUUCUAACGUUGACCCGUAAUCCGGGUUGCGGACAGUGUCUGGUGGGUAGUUUGACUGGGGCGGUCUCCUCCUAAAGAGUAACGGAGGAGCACGAAGGUUGGCUAAUCCUGGUCGGACAUCAGGAGGUUAGUGCAAUGGCAUAAGCCAGCUUGACUGCGAGCGUGACGGCGCGAGCAGGUGCGAAAGCAGGUCAUAGUGAUCCGGUGGUUCUGAAUGGAAGGGCCAUCGCUCAACGGAUAAAAGGUACUCCGGGGAUAACAGGCUGAUACCGCCCAAGAGUUCAUAUCGACGGCGGUGUUUGGCACCUCGAUGUCGGCUCAUCACAUCCUGGGGCUGAAGUAGGUCCCAAGGGUAUGGCUGUUCGCCAUUUAAAGUGGUACGCGAGCUGGGUUUAGAACGUCGUGAGACAGUUCGGUCCCUAUCUGCCGUGGGCGCUGGAGAACUGAGGGGGGCUGCUCCUAGUACGAGAGGACCGGAGUGGACGCAUCACUGGUGUUCGGGUUGUCAUGCCAAUGGCACUGCCCGGUAGCUAAAUGCGGAAGAGAUAAGUGCUGAAAGCAUCUAAGCACGAAACUUGCCCCGAGAUGAGUUCUCCCUGACUCCUUGA